This 436-nucleotide ribosomal RNA is filed under the name uncultured Glomus. RNAcentral's name for it is "SSU rRNA". It matches the Rfam family "Eukaryotic small subunit ribosomal RNA", at positions 569 to 1011 of the family's 1831-position model. Lineage: Eukaryota; Fungi; Glomeromycota; Glomeromycetes; Glomerales; Glomeraceae. The record is from RNAcentral.
AGCAGCCGCGGUAAUUCCAGCUCCAAUAGCGUAUAUUAAAGUUGUUGCAGUUAAAAAGCUCGUAGUUGAAUUUCGGGAUCAAUACGUCGGUCGUGCUUCGGUACGUACUGGCGUAAUUGAUUUCUCCCUUCUGACGAACCAUGAUGUCAUUAACUUGGUGUCAUGGGAAAUCAGGACUGUUACUUUGAAAAAUUAGAGUGUUUAAAGCAAGCUAACGCUUGAAUAACAUUAGCAUGGAAUAAUGAAAUAGGACGUUCGAUCCUAUUUUGUUGGUUUCUAGGAUUGACGUAAUGAUUAAUAGGGAUAGUUGGGGCAUUAGUAUUCAAUUGUCAGAGGUGAAAUUCUUGGAUUUAUUGAAGACUAACUACUGCGAAAGCAUUUGCCAAGGAUGUUUUCAUUAAUCAAGAACGAAAGUUAGGGGAUCGAAGACGAUCAG